UAUCGCCUUCGGGAAAACAUUUCUAUAAAUAGCCCUGAUUACUGGGUUUAUUUUAUUUAGCCACAGAUUAUAUGAAAAGGUUUUCUUGUUAUUUUGAUGCAGUCUGUGAUUAAAUAAGUGGAGGGAUAUUGAUUAAAGUGUCAGUCGAUAUUAUUACCAUAGAUUGUAAGUAUAGUCAUGUAGUUUUCAGAUUUUGGUUGCACUCAGCUAUAUUAGUGAUUGGUAAAUUGCAUUCUCGUUAUUUUUCGUUGGUAUUUCUUAGAAGAUUUUUCGGUAAAUUCAAUUGAAAUUAAUAUGUUCAAAUUAAUUACUCAUAAACUAUUUCUUUUUUAAUUAAAUGUAUAUUUUUCUAAAUGCCAAAAAAAUUACUAUUGGACGUUUAUGAUGUACAAAACUCUAACAUGUAUGAAGACGUGAUGUAUUUUUUCAGAUAAUGUGUCACUGCACAGUAGUAUAGAUCCGGGAAUUGUCUAUGAUUCAGGGAGUCACCUCUCCCCAUCAGUCUUGUAUAUGGCAUCAUCGCUCACUCCUCUUUCUCCAAGUUAUCAUAGAUCUCCUUAAAUCGAAGAAGAUCUAAUACUAGACCUGACGAUGGCAUUUAGAGAGGCAAAUUAUAUUUUUUAAACCAAAUUCAAAUAUUUAGUUAACUCACUGUAUAUAUAAAUUCACAACAAAUGUAUUUAUA
Molecule: long non-coding RNA, 685 nt
Organism: Daktulosphaira vitifoliae (grape phylloxera)
Lineage: Eukaryota; Metazoa; Arthropoda; Insecta; Hemiptera; Phylloxeridae
Exons: 3
Source: RefSeq, a predicted model, not a curated record